UCAAUGAAUUGAUAGUGAUUAGCAAAACUCGAAAUUGAUGACCAAAACAAAGUCAAACUGGUGUCAUCUUUUGGUAUGCUCUUGCCCACAAAAUAUACUCCAACUUUUAUUAAGGGGUCAACUCAAGUUGUUUAACAAAAUUUGGAGAAUGCGGAAUGCCAACGUGACGAACUGAAAUUCCAGACUUAGAAAUUCGAAAUGCUGGAAUUUACAGCAGAUUCAAAAUUGUGCCUAUUAUUUGACAGGCUUAGAUGAUGAUUCAGACUUGGGCACUUUAACAAAGUUUGUAGCAUAAAAACUAUGCUACAACUUUUAAUAAAGGACCUUGUACUAUUUCUGCCUGGUCAGUAAGAUACAAAGCUCCCAACUAGGAUACCCGAAACUGAGCACCUUGAGGACAGCCAAAUUUCUGGGGUUCCAAAACAGCACUGCAUUGAAUCUUGUGAGCUUAAUUUGACUAGGAUAGGUACCAAACUAGCUCUUGACCAUUAAAUAAAGUUUGUUCUACAGAAGCAAAACUAUAACUUUUAUUUAAGGUCAAUCCUCAUAACUGGUACCAAAGUCAAACUUUCACUUUGGUCAAAGUAUCAACUUGAUAAAGCUCAAACUAGGAUUUUAGAGCAAAUAAAGCAUUUUCUUGGCACAAGCUCAAUAUGAACCCUUCAUGACCUUUGUUGUAGAGUUCAUUUAGAAUCACUUGGUCAAGAUUGCAAGGUUAGGUUAGUAACCCAAGGUUCCGUUCACCGAAUAAGGUCAUUCCAACAAGCAUGUAACUUAUCCUUUCAUUUGACCUUUUGAAUCCAAACUUCAUGAAACUUUUUGAGUGAUCAACCUAGGUAGAGAUGGAGGUGAUACAUGUGAAAGAAGCACCAUCAACACCCACAAGCUCUAUUAUGCAGGAUCCUCAAGCAUUCACUUGUCGCAACAUCAAAGUAUGUUUCAUACUAUCAUAUAUGAACAAUUGAUGCUUAUGCUCAUGAAAUGUGAGUGCCAAAAUGCAAGACAAACACCUGGGGUGUUACAGAACCGUAAGCCGGGUUACGGUGCCAAACUGCGCGCUAACAUAGAACCCACAAAGGGUGUUGGUCGAUUAAGACAGCAGGACAGUGGUCAUGGAAGUCGAAAUCCGCUAAGGAGUGUGUAACAACUCACCUGCCGAAUUAACUAGCCCCGAAAAUGGAUGGCGCUAAGGCGCGCGACCCACACCUAGCCAUCUGGGCGAGCGCCAUGCCCCGAUGAGUUGGAGGGCGCGGCGGCCGCUGCAAAACCCGAGGCGUGAGCCUGGGCGGAGCGACCGUCGGUGCAGAUCUUGGUGGUAGUAGCAAAUAUUCAAAUGAGAACUUUGAAGGCCGAAGAGGAGAAAGGUUCCAUGUGAACGGCACUUGCACAUGGGUAAGCCGAUCCUAAGGGACGGGGUAACCCCGGCAGACAGCGCGAUCUUGCGUGUUGCCCGCAAGGGAAUCGGGUUAAGAUUUCCCGAGCCGGGACGUGGCGGUUGAUGGCGACGUUAGGAAGUCCAGAGACGCUGGUGGGGGCCUCGGGAAGAGUUAUCUUUUCUACUUAACGGCCUGCCAACCCUAGAAUCGGUUCAGCCGGAGGUAGGGUCCAGCAGUCGGAAGAGCACCGCACGUCGCGCGGUGUCCAGUGCGCCCCCGGCAGCCCUUGAAAAUCCGGAGGACCGAGUACUGUCCACGCCCGGUCGUACUCAUAACCGCAUCAGGUCUCUAAGGUGAACAGUCUCUGGCCAAUGGAACAAUGUAGGCAAGGGAAGUCGGCAAAACGGAUCCGUAACUUUGGGAAAAGGAUUGGCUCUGAGCGUUGGGCUCGGUGGUCCCGGCCCCAAACCCGUUGGCUGCAGGCGGACUGCUCGAGCUGCUCACGUGGCGAGAGCGGGCCACCGCGUUCCGGCCGAGGGACGGACCGGCAACGGUUCCUUCGGGGGCCUUCCCCGGGCGUCGAACAACCGACUCAGAACUGGUACGGACAAGGGGAAUCUGACUGUUUAAUUAAAACAAAGCAUUGCGAUGGUCCCCACAGAUGCUGACGCAAUGUGAUUUCUGCCCAGUGCUCUGAAUGUCAAAGUGAAGAAAUUCAACCAAGCGCGGGUAAACGGCGGGAGUAACUAUGACUCUCUUAAGGUAGCCAAAUGCCUCGUCAUCUAAUUAGUGACGUGCAUGAAUGGAUUAACGAGAUUCCCACUGUCCCUGUCUACUAUCUAGUGAAACCAUAACUAAGGGAACGGGUUUGGCGGAAUCAGCGGGGAAAGAAGACCCUGUUGAGCUUGAAUCUAGUUUGACUUUGUGAAAUGACUUGAAAGGUGUAGGAUAAGUGGGAGCCCUCGGGCGCAAGUGAAAUACCACUACUUUUAAUGUUAUUUUACUUAUUCCGUGGGUCGGAAGCGGGGCAUCGCCCCUCCUUUUGGCUCUAACGCCCGGCCUUGCCGAGCCGAUCCGGGCGGAAGACAUUGUCAGGUGGGGAGUUUGGCUGGGGCAGCACAUCUGUUAAAAGAUAACGCAGGUGUCCUAAGAUGAGCUCAAUGAGAAUAGAAAUCUCGUGUGGAACAAAAGGGUAAAAGCUCAUUUGAUUCUGAUUUCCAGUACGAAUAUGAACCGUGACAGCGUGGCCUAUCGAUCCUUUAGACCUUCAGAGUUUGAAGCUAGAGGUGUCAGAAAAGUUACCACAGGGAUAACUGGCUUGUGGCAACCAAGCGUUCAUAGCGACGUUGCUUUUUGAUCCUUCGAUGUCGGCUCUUCCUAUCAUUGUGAAGCAGAAUUCACCAAGUGUUGGAUUGUUCACCCACCAAUAGGGAACGUGAGCUGGGUUUAGACCGUCCUGGGAUAGGUUAGUUUUACCCUACUGAUGACCGUGCCGUGAUAGUAAUUCAACCUAGUAUGAGAGGAACCGUUGAUUCACAAAAUUGGUCAUCGUGCUUGGUUGAAAAGCCAGUGGCGCGAAGCUACCGUGUGCCGGAUUAUGACUGAACGCCUCUAAGUUAGAAUCCAUGCUAGCAACCGGAACCUGUGCCCGCCACUCGUCCCGACCCACAUUAGGGCGUUCGCGCCCCAAGGGCCCGUGCCAUUGGCUCAGCCUGCUCGGCCGACGCGCCGUAGCCGGCCGCCUCGAAGCUCCCUUCUUAACGAGC
RNAcentral lists this ribosomal RNA (3142 nucleotides) under Sorghum bicolor (sorghum). RNAcentral describes it as "eukaryotic LSU rRNA". The stretch from base 565 to 3142 matches the Rfam family "Eukaryotic large subunit ribosomal RNA". The record is from RNAcentral. Lineage: Eukaryota; Viridiplantae; Streptophyta; Magnoliopsida; Poales; Poaceae.